RNAcentral lists this ribosomal RNA (1065 nucleotides) under Ophiocordyceps lanpingensis. RNAcentral's name for it is "SSU rRNA". It matches the Rfam family "Eukaryotic small subunit ribosomal RNA", at positions 52 to 1129 of the family's 1831-position model. Lineage: Eukaryota; Fungi; Ascomycota; Sordariomycetes; Hypocreales; Ophiocordycipitaceae. The record is from RNAcentral.
UGCAUGUCUAAGUAUAAGCAAUUAUACAGCGAAACUGCGAAUGGCUCAUUAUAUAAGUUAUCGUUUAUUUGAUAGUACCUUACUACUUGGAUAACCGUGGUAAUUCUAGAGCUAAUACAUGCUGAAAAUCCCGACUUCGGAAGGGAUGUAUUUAUUAGAUUCAAAACCAAUGCCCUCUGGGCUCACUGGUGAUUCAUGAUAACUCCUCGAAUCGCACGGCCUUGCGCCGGCGAUGGUUCAUUCAAAUUUCUUCCCUAUCAACUUUCGAUGUUUGGGUAGUGGCCAAACAUGGUUGCAACGGGUAACGGAGGGUUAGGGCUCGACCCCGGAGAAGGAGCCUGAGAAACGGCUACUACAUCCAAGGAAGGCAGCAGGCGCGCAAAUUACCCAAUCCCGACACGGGGAGGUAGUGACAAUAAAUACUGAUACAGGGCUCUUUUGGGUCUUGUAAUUGGAAUGAGUACAAUUUAAAUCCCUUAACGAGGAACAAUUGGAGGGCAAGUCUGGUGCCAGCAGCCGCGGUAAUUCCAGCUCCAAUAGCGUAUAUUAAAGUUGUUGUGGUUAAAAAGCUCGUAGUUGAACCCUUGGGCCUGGCUGGCCGGUCCGCCUCACCGCGUGUACUGGUCCGGCCGGGCCUUUCCCUCUGUGGAACCCCAUGCCCUUCACUGGGCGUGGCGGGGAAACAGGACUUUUACUUUGAAAAAAUUAGAGUGCUCCAGGCAGGCCUAUGCUCGAAUACAUUAGCAUGGAAUAAUGAAAUAGGACGUGCGGUUCUAUUUUGUUGGUUUCUAGGACCGCCGUAAUGAUUAAUAGGGACAGUCGGGGGCAUCAGUAUUCAAUAGUCAGAGGUGAAAUUCUUGGAUCUAUUGAAGACUAACUACUGCGAAAGCAUUUGUCAAGGAUGUUUUCAUUAAUCAGGAACGAAAGUUAGGGGAUCGAAGACGAUCAGAUACCGUCGUAGUCUUAACCAUAAACUAUGCCGACUAGGGAUCGGACGAUGUUAUUUUUGACUCGUUCGGCCCCUUACGAGAAAAUCAAGUGCUUGGGCUCCAGGGGGAGUAUGGU